AACGGUGGUGGAAAGUUUUUCGGUCAGGGAUGGGCCCGCGGCCUAUCAGCUAGUUGGUGGGGUAAUGGCCCACCAAGGCGACGACGGGUAGCCGGCCUGAGAGGGCGACCGGCCACACUGGGACUGAGACACGGCCCAGACUCCUACGGGAGGCAGCAGUGGGGAAUAUUGCGCAAUGGGCGAAAGCCUGACGCAGCGACGCCGCGUGAGGGACGAAGGCCUUCGGGUUGUAAACCUCUUUCAGCAGGGACGAAAUUGACGGUACCUGCAGAAGAAGCACCGGCUAACUACGUGCCAGCAGCCGCGGUAAUACGUAGGGUGCAAGCGUUGUCCGGAUUUAUUGGGCGUAAAGAGCUCGUAGGCGGUCUGUCGCGUCGGAUGUGAAAACUUGGGGCUCAACCCUGAGCUUGCAUUCGAUACGGGCAGACUAGAGGAUGGCAGGGGAGACUGGAAUUCCUGAUGUAGCGGUGGAAUGCGCAGAUAUCAGGAGGACACCGGUGGCGAAGGCGGGUCUCUGGGCAUUUCUGACCUGAGGAGCGAAACGUGGGGAGCAGACAGGA
RNAcentral lists this ribosomal RNA (560 nucleotides) under uncultured bacterium. RNAcentral's name for it is "bacterial SSU rRNA". It matches the Rfam family "Bacterial small subunit ribosomal RNA", at positions 196 to 777 of the family's 1533-position model. The record is from RNAcentral.